GACGAACGCUGGCGGCGUGCUUAACACAUGCAAGUCGAGCGGUAAGGCCCUUUCGGGGUACACGAGCGGCGAACGGGUGAGUAACACGUGGGUGACCUGCCCUUAGCUCUGGGAUAAGCCUGGGAAACUGGGUCUAAUACCGGAUAUGACUCCAUGACGCAUGUUGUGGGGUGGAAAGCCUUGUGCGGCUAGGGAUGGGCCGUGCGGCCUAUCAGCUUGUUGGUGGGGUGANGGCCUACCAAGGCGACGACGGGUAGCCGGCCUGAGAGGGCGACCGGCCACACUGGGACUGAGACACGGCCCAGACUCCUACGGGAGGCAGCAGUGGGGAAUCUUGCGCAAUGGGCGAAAGCCUGACGCAGCGACGCCGCGUGGGGAUGACGGCCUCGGUU
Molecule: ribosomal RNA, 392 nt
Filed under: uncultured bacterium
Lineage: Bacteria
Description: bacterial SSU rRNA
Rfam family: Bacterial small subunit ribosomal RNA
Source: RNAcentral